This 734-nucleotide long non-coding RNA is filed under the name Cyanistes caeruleus (blue tit). RNAcentral describes it as "lncRNA (ENSCCEG00000011030.1)". The record is from RNAcentral. Lineage: Eukaryota; Metazoa; Chordata; Aves; Passeriformes; Paridae.
CCUCCCAUUCCGGAGAAGAGGGAAGGCACCCAAGUACUGUCCACCAAUCCAGAGCUCCAGAAAAACCAGAUUUUCUCCCCUUUCCCCCCUGCUGCAGGAGCCUCAUCAUAGCAGGAAGAGCCGGUUCACCCUCAUCACCUCCUCUCUGGUUUGCAUAGGCAAAGAAAUGCAAAGCACACGCCAGGGAGGCGAUAAUUCCUUGGUGCCACCCCUGGCACAGGUGACAAGGUUUGGGUAGCAGCGAGCACCUCCUGCCCCUGCAGAGCCCACCUGGGGCUGGCACCUCCAGUCUGCUCCAGCACACCCAGAACCACCGGGCUCGUCCCCAGGACUGAGCUUUGCCCGGAGUUUUCCAGGCAGAACUGGGAAUGGGGAGCUGGGAGGAGCUGCAGCUGGCCCAGGGAAUUUUUGACGAGACUUUGUCUGCAAGGAAAGGUUCUGCUGCCACACAGGCUGUGGUGGGGAGCUUUGGAUGCUGCCAAAUUUUGUGGUUUCUGCUGCCUCCCAGAAUGACAAACAACAUCUCCAAAGCCUUGUGGCACCUUCUGUGUCCUGGAUGGGACCUGGGGCUUCUUCCUUCUCCAGGCAGAUGUAGAAGGAUGUCACAGAACCUCCUCUCAGACUUCACACCCGAGCUUUAAUGGCCUUUCAAGGGUCUAUUGUUUUCUGGUUUGUUCUCUUUGUGCUCAGCACCUGGCAUGUAGAAAAUGUGCUUGGAAGGACAAAUAAAUCAU